ACUCCAGACUCCUACGGGAGGCAGCAGUGGGGAAUAUUGGGCAAUGGAGGAAACUCUUACCCAGCAAUGCCGCGUGAAUGAAGUAGGUCUUCGGAUUGUAAAGUUCUUUAAUUGGGGACGAAAAAAAUGACGGUACCCAAGGAAUAAGCCCCGGCUAACUACGUGCCAGCAGCCGCGGUAAUACGUAGGGGGCAAGCGUUGUUCGGAAUGACUGGGCGUAAAGGGUGUGUAGGCGGUGUAGCAAGUUAGAAGUGAAAGCCCAAGGCUCAACCAUGGGACUGCUUUGGAAACUGUUAAGCUAGAGUGCUGGAGAGGUAAGCGGAAUUCCUAGUGUAGCGGUGAAAUGCGUAGAUAUUAGGAAGAACACCAAUGGCGAAGGCGGCUUACUGGACAGUAACUGACGUUGAGGCUCGAAAGCGUGGGGAGCAAACAGGAUUAGAUACCCCAGUAU
RNAcentral lists this ribosomal RNA (451 nucleotides) under uncultured bacterium. RNAcentral describes it as "bacterial SSU rRNA". It matches the Rfam family "Bacterial small subunit ribosomal RNA", at positions 328 to 793 of the family's 1533-position model. The record is from RNAcentral.